This is a long non-coding RNA of Petromyzon marinus (sea lamprey), 763 nucleotides long. RefSeq lists it as uncharacterized. NCBI's taxonomy places the organism in Eukaryota, Metazoa, Chordata, Hyperoartia, Petromyzontiformes, Petromyzontidae. The record is from RefSeq and is a predicted model, not a curated record.
GACGCUGCUGCUACUGGGCAGUUGGAGGCAGUCGCGACCCCUACCAACAACAACGGAGUCACGAAAACUUCAAAUCUAGAAGAAACAACGGAGGUGCUGAGGAGCAACGCUCACAACAAUGAGCGGAUAAAAUACGGCAAGUUGGCACGGUGCGUGACGUAAUUUAUGGACGGCCCCCGAGACCUGCUGCUGUCAGCGAACCUUCGACACUUCACGUGGGCACAAAAGUGCACCUAGUCUGGCACAGGAGCCGUGGCGACGUCACCGUCACUUAGUGGCGAACGGCGGCUGUUGGUAUUGGGGAGCAGACGGAGGCGCGCGCCGUGACGUCAUUUAACUAUAAAACUAUCUAUGACGUCAAAUUCGUAAAGAGGGGCCGUGUUAUGUGGGGGGAGAAGCGAUUAGGCGCGAUGACGUCAUUUUAACAAUAGCCAAAUUGCCGACGUCAGGGCGCGCCUGGAAGUAAAAAUUUGUCAAACGACGAUGGGGGUGGGAUGGAAAGAGACCGGUGACGUGACGUCAUUUAACGGCGGGAAGUUCAAAUUCUUUAAACGGAAUCGGGAUUGUGGUGAACGGAGUUGCACGCCUUUCACGUCAUUUAUUUUAGCGGUGGGAAGUUCAAGUUCGUAAAAAAAAGAGGACCGAGAUCUGAGGGGGCGGGGGCUGAGGAGGAGACGUGCGACAUGACGUCAUUUUAACAAUACAUAAAAAAUCGGUGACGUCACGGCGCGCGGGAAAUUCAAAUUCGUGAAACGGGACCGGG